RNAcentral lists this unclassified non-coding RNA (300 nucleotides) under uncultured fungus. Its description in RNAcentral is "sequence contains 5.8S rRNA gene, ITS2". The stretch from base 1 to 71 matches the Rfam family "5.8S ribosomal RNA", at positions 84 to 154 of the family's 154-position model. Lineage: Eukaryota; Fungi. The record is from RNAcentral.
GUGAAUCAUCGAAUCUUUGAACGCAUAUUGCGCCCGCGGCUUCGGCCAAGGGCAUGUCUGCCUCAGCGUCGGGUUAAUACUCGCCCCACACACUCCCCUCAAAAGGAGCUAAAUGUGUUUGGGACGGAUCUGGCCGUCUCAGCACCUUGUCUUGCUUCAAAACCAAGGCAAGGGACUGGGUUGGCUGAAGUACAGAGGUUUGUUCAAGGACCCGUCAAGGGCCGCAGCUGGUUAGGCAGUGAUGCUAUCGAUUAGCUGUUGGUCUGGGACCUGGAUGAACCCUCAACCAGGAAACAUAAU